AUUGCCUCAGUAACGGCGAGUGAAGCGGCAAAAGCUCAAAUUUGAAAUCUGGCGCCCGCCCGAAUUGUAAUUUGAAGAAGCGACUUUGGACCUGGCUCUUGUCUAAGUUCCUUGGAACAGGACGUCAUAGAGGGUGAGAAUCCCGUUAGAUGAGAUGCCCAGGGCCGUGUAAAGCGUUUUCGACGAGUCGAGUUGUUUGGGAAUGCAGCUCUAAGUGGGUGGUAAAUUCCAUCUAAAGCUAAAUAUUGGCGAGAGACCGAUAGCGAACAAGUACAGUGAUGGAAAGAUGAAAAGAACUUUGAAAAGAGAGUGAAAAAGUACGUGAAAUUGUUGAAAGGGAAGGGCUUGUGAUCAGACUUUGCAUUUCUAUGGCUUCCUUUCGGGGGGGUCCUCUGGAGUUGUAGGGCCAGCAUGGGUUGGAGGGGUGAGAUAAUGGGGAAGGAAUGUGGCUCUGCCUCGGUAGAGUGUUAUAUCCUUUUCUGAUGUCACCACCUUCGACCGAGGACUGCGGUACUAGGAUGCUGGC
This 526-nucleotide ribosomal RNA is filed under the name Suhomyces sp. DG-2024a. RNAcentral describes it as "partial 26S ribosomal RNA". It matches the Rfam family "Eukaryotic large subunit ribosomal RNA", at positions 74 to 628 of the family's 3401-position model. Lineage: Eukaryota; Fungi; Ascomycota; Pichiomycetes; Serinales; Debaryomycetaceae. The record is from RNAcentral.